AAGAGUGACAUCUUUUACAUUUCGCGAC
This 28-nucleotide small RNA is filed under the name Bombyx mori (domestic silkworm). Its description in RNAcentral is "ovarian small RNA-10536". Lineage: Eukaryota; Metazoa; Arthropoda; Insecta; Lepidoptera; Bombycidae. The record is from RNAcentral.